Microcebus murinus (gray mouse lemur) is the source of this 1560-nucleotide non-coding RNA. The record is from RefSeq and is a predicted model, not a curated record. NCBI's taxonomy places the organism in Eukaryota, Metazoa, Chordata, Mammalia, Primates, Cheirogaleidae.
CGCCCUCGCGCGGCGCGGGCGGCGCUCUUCGCGUGCCGAAAACCGGGCGCCGAGAGGCCGUCAUCUGCCUUAGACCUGGGCCAGGUUGCCGCUUCCCACUGAGGAUCUCUCCUAGAUGCCUCCGCCUCACUCUUCCAAAAGGGGCAGGGUGGUGUAGAAGCCCCGCCGUGCGGGCUGAGCCGCGGCCCGCGUGGGCGGCCGCGCGGGUGGCCGACGCCAGCUGCGGGAAGUGGGAGGCGAAAGCCGGGCGGGCUGCGCAGCACCGGCUGGAAGAUCCCCGCGGCGACGGCCCGAGACGGUGGCCGAGAGGCUGAGUGCAGCCCAGGCAGCCGCGCGGCGGAUCGGGUGCACGCCUCAGAGGCACGGUCCCCUUUGACCCCACAAGUAACAAAAGGUCCCGAGGGUCGGGACAAGUGGCGCCCAACGUGGGGCCCGAGGUACGGACUUUUGUCAGAUGCACGCGGUUUACAGACAGUUCUCCGGAGAAUCCCUAAAGAGACCUCCUUUCUGCCGCUCACAGAAUCGACGGUCUGUCACAGGUAGACGCAGCUACACAAAAAUCGGUCUCCGUGUUUUACCAACGGCUAGAACAAAGAGGCCCCAGAGAAGACCUCCGUGGAGAGUCUCCCAACACACCCACUGAAGGUCUAAAUUUCUCAGACCUUGCCUCAGACAUAGAACGCAGUUGGUUCCAAAGGCUGUGAAGACGCCCAUGAUGAGAUUAUUGCGAUGCCGUGUACCAGAUGCACACCCCGCCGACGUUCAAAAUGGGUCGUAAAGCAGUGGAGAAAACUCGCAACAUCAACAACACAUUUGGCUCAGGAACUGCUAACGAACAUACAGUGUGGUGGUGGGUCAAGAAUUUUUGCAAAGGAGACGAGGACCUUGAGAUGAGGAUGCAGUGGCCGGCCAUCGGAAGUUGACAACGACCGACUGAGAGCGAUCAUUGAAGCUGAUCCCCUUACAACCACACGAGAAGUUGCCAAAGAACUCAACGUCGACCAUUCUACAGUCCAUUUGGCAUUUAAAGCAAAUUGGAAAGGUGAAAAAGCUCGAUAAGUGGGUGCCUCAUGAGCUGACUGAAUAUUAAGGAAAAUUAUCAUUUUAAGUGUGGUCUUCUCUUCUUUUACUCAGCAACAACAAACCAUUUCUCUAUCGGAUUGUGACCUGCAACGAAAAGUGGAUUUUGUAAAACCACUGAUUACCAGCUCAGCAGCUCAGUGGUUGGACCAAGAAGAAGCUCCAAAGCACUUCCCAAAGCCAAAUUUGCACCAAAAAAAGGUCAUGGCCACUGUUUGGUGGUCUCCUGCCAGUCUGAUCCACUACAGCUUUCUGAAUCCUGGCGAAACCACUGCAGAUGAGAAGCGUGCUCAGCAGAUCAAUGACAUGCACCGAAAACUGCAACACCUGCAGCCGGCAUUGGUCAACAGAAAGGGCCCAGUUCUCCAGAACAACGCCCGACCGCACGUUGUGCGACCAAUAUUUCAAAAGUUGAAUGAACUGGACAACGAAGUUUUGCCUCAUCUGCCAUACUCACCUGAUCUCUCGCCAACUGACUGC